RNAcentral lists this ribosomal RNA (173 nucleotides) under uncultured bacterium. RNAcentral describes it as "partial 16S ribosomal RNA". It matches the Rfam family "Bacterial small subunit ribosomal RNA", at positions 1320 to 1500 of the family's 1533-position model. The record is from RNAcentral.
GUGAAGCUGGAUUCGCUAGUAAUCGCGCAUCAGCCACGGCGCGGUGAAUACGUUCCCGGGCCUUGUACACACCGCCCGUCAAGCCAUGGAAGCCGGGAGUGCCUGAAGUGCGUGAGCGCAAGCAGCGCCCUAAGGUAAAACCGGUGACUGGGGCUAAGUCGUAACAAGGUAUC